AGCGUAGACGGAUGGACAAGUCUGAUGUGAAAGGCUGGGGCUCAACCCCCGGGACUGCAUUGGAAACUGCCCGUCUUGAGUGCCGGAGAGGUAAGCGGAAUUCCUAGUGUAGCGGUGAAAUGCGUAGAUAUUAGGAGGAACACCAGUGGCGAAGGCGGCUUACUGGACGGUAACUGACGUUGAGGCUCGAAAGCGUGGGGAGCAAACA
Molecule: ribosomal RNA, 208 nt
Filed under: uncultured bacterium
Lineage: Bacteria
Description: partial 16S ribosomal RNA
Rfam family: Bacterial small subunit ribosomal RNA
Source: RNAcentral